UGAGGAAUAUUGGUCAAUGGGCGCGAGCCUGAACCAGCCAAGUCGCGUGAGGGAUGACGGCCCUACGGGUUGUAAACCUCUUUUGUCGGGGAGCAAAUUCCGCCACGUGUGGCGGAGUCGAGAGUACCCGAAGAAAAAUGCAUCGGCUAACUCCGUGCCAGCAGCCGCGGUAAUACGGAGGAUGCGAGCGUUAUCCGGAUUUAUUGGGUUUAAAGGGUGCGUAGGCGGACUGUCAAGUCAGCGGUAAAAUACGGGGGCUCAACCUCCGCCCGCCGUUGAAACUGACGGUCUUGAGUGGGCGAGAAGUAUGCGGAAUGCGUGGUGUAGCGGUGAAAUGCAUAGAUAUCACGCAGAACUCCGAUUGCGAAGGCAGCGUACCGGCGCCCAACUGACGCUGAAGCACGAAAGCGUGGGUAUCGAACAGGAUUAGAUACC
Molecule: ribosomal RNA, 435 nt
Filed under: uncultured bacterium
Lineage: Bacteria
Description: bacterial SSU rRNA
Rfam family: Bacterial small subunit ribosomal RNA
Source: RNAcentral